This 82-nucleotide transfer RNA is filed under the name Alteromonas confluentis. It matches the Rfam family "tRNA". From Rfam's summary of the family: Transfer RNA (tRNA) molecules are approximately 80 nucleotides in length. Their secondary structure includes four short double-helical elements and three loops (D, anti-codon, and T loops). The record is from Rfam by way of RNAcentral. Lineage: Bacteria; Pseudomonadati; Pseudomonadota; Gammaproteobacteria; Alteromonadales; Alteromonadaceae. RNAcentral also lists the same sequence under 1 other name.
GCCAGUGUGAUGGAAUUGGUAGACAUGACGGAUUCAAAAUCCGUUGCCUUCGGGCGUGGCGGUUCGAGUCCGCCCACUGGUA